Molecule: ribosomal RNA, 1217 nt
Filed under: Bacillus velezensis
Lineage: Bacteria; Bacillati; Bacillota; Bacilli; Caryophanales; Bacillaceae
Description: bacterial SSU rRNA
Rfam family: Bacterial small subunit ribosomal RNA
Source: RNAcentral
CUUAGCUAGUUGGGAGGUAACGCUCCCCAAAGCAACGAUGGUUAGCGACCUGGAAGGGGGAUCGCCCAACUUGGACUUGAAACCCGCCCCAACUCCUUCGGGAGGCAGCAGUAAGGAAUUUUCCGCAAUGGACGAAAGUCUGACGGAGCAACCCCGCUUGAAUGAUGAAGGUUUUCGGAUCGUAAAGCUCUGUUGUUAGGGAAGAACAAGUGCCGUUCAAAUAGGGCGGCACCUUGACGGUACCUAACCAGAAAGCCACGGCUAACUACGUGCCAGCAGCCGCGGUAAUACGUAGGUGGCAAGCGUUGUCCGGAAUUAUUGGGCGUAAAGGGCUCGCAGGCGGUUUCUUAAGUCUGAUGUGAAAGCCCCCGGCUCAACCGGGGAGGGUCAUUGGAAACUGGGGAACUUGAGUGCAGAAGAGGAGAGUGGAAUUCCACGUGUAGCGGUGAAAUGCGUAGAGAUGUGGAGGAACACCAGUGGCGAAGGCGACUCUCUGGUCUGUAACUGACGCUGAGGAGCGAAAGCGUGGGGAGCGAACAGGAUUAGAUACCCUGGUAGUCCACGCCGUAAACGAUGAGUGCUAAGUGUUAGGGGGUUUCCGCCCCUUAGUGCUGCAGCUAACGCAUUAAGCACUCCGCCUGGGGAGUACGGUCGCAAGACUGAAACUCAAAGGAAUUGACGGGGGCCCGCACAAGCGGUGGAGCAUGUGGUUUAAUUCGAAGCAACGCGAAGAACCUUACCAGGUCUUGACAUCCUCUGACAAUCCUAGAGAUAGGACGUCCCCUUCGGGGGCAGAGUGACAGGUGGUGCAUGGUUGUCGUCAGCUCGUGUCGUGAGAUGUUGGGUUAAGUCCCGCAACGAGCGCAACCCUUGAUCUUAGUUGCCAGCAUUCAGUUGGGCACUCUAAGGUGACUGCCGGUGACAAAUUUGAGGAAGGCUGGGAUGACGUCAAAUCAUCAUGCCCCUUAUGACCUGGGCUACACACGUGCUACAAUGGACAGAACAAAGGGCAGCGAAACCGCGAGGUUAAGCCAAUCCCACAAAUCUGUUCUCAGUUCGGAUCGCAGUCUGCAACUCGACUGCGUGAAGCGGGAAUCGCUGGUAAUCGCGGAUCAGCAUGCCGCGGUGAAUACGUUCCCGGGCCUAGUACACACCGCCCGUCACACCACGAGAGUUUGUAACACCCGAAGUCGGUGAGGUAACCUUUAGGAGCCUAU